CCUACGGGGGGCUGCAGUCGAGAAUCAUUCACAAUGGGGGAAACCCUGAUGGUGCGACGCCGCGUGGGGGAAUGAAGGUCUUCGGAUUGUAAACCCCUGUCAUGUGGGAGCAAAUUAAAAAGAUAGUACCACAAGAGGAAGAGACGGCUAACUCUGUGCCAGCAGCCGCGGUAAUACAGAGGUCUCAAGCGUUGUUCGGAAUCACUGGGCGUAAAGCGUGCGUAGGCUGUUUCGUAAGUCGUGUGUGAAAGGUGCGGGCUCAACCCGCGGACGGCACAUGAUACUGCGAGACUAGAGUAAUGGAUGGGGAACCGGAAUUCUCGGUGUAGCAGUGAAAUGCGUAGAUAUCGAGAGGAACACUCGUGGCGAAGGCGGGUUCCUGGACAUUAACUGACGCUGAGGCACGAAGGCCAGGGGAGCGAAAGGGAUUAGAUACCCGGGUAGUC
Molecule: ribosomal RNA, 446 nt
Filed under: uncultured bacterium
Lineage: Bacteria
Description: partial 16S ribosomal RNA
Rfam family: Bacterial small subunit ribosomal RNA
Source: RNAcentral